Long non-coding RNA from Sinocyclocheilus grahami, 233 nucleotides. RefSeq lists it as uncharacterized. The transcript is spliced from 3 exons. The record is from RefSeq and is a predicted model, not a curated record. NCBI's taxonomy places the organism in Eukaryota, Metazoa, Chordata, Actinopteri, Cypriniformes, Cyprinidae.
GCAAACAAAAGGAACGUAUACGAUCGAUAUGGAAAAGAAGGCUUAACUCCAGGGGGAGGAGGAGGAAGAGGACACUUUAAUAAUGACCACUUUGGAGGAUUCACAUUCCGCAAUCCAGAGGAUGUCUUCAGGGAAUUCUUUGGUGGACAAGAUCCAUUUGCAGACUUCUUUGGUGGAGAUCCAUUUAAUGAUGACUUCUUUGGUGGUCGGCGGCACCACCACCACCACCACCA